Molecule: long non-coding RNA, 157 nt
Organism: Rhinopithecus roxellana (golden snub-nosed monkey)
Lineage: Eukaryota; Metazoa; Chordata; Mammalia; Primates; Cercopithecidae
Exons: 2
Source: RefSeq, a predicted model, not a curated record
CGGAUGGAUUAUUUGCAGUCUUGAAGUGUUGUCGUUGGAAGUUUCAAUUCUUUCCUUCCCUGCCCUCCAGUGAAGCAACACCAUGAAUGGCCGGUUCUGGAUUGACAAAUGUUCUCCGUGGCUCUCCCAGUCCCUUCCUUACACUCGAGCUGCUCAG